This is a non-coding RNA of Mustela lutreola (European mink), 73 nucleotides long. The record is from the annotation of a RefSeq genome assembly. Lineage: Eukaryota; Metazoa; Chordata; Mammalia; Carnivora; Mustelidae.
GCCUGGCUGGCUCAGUUGGUAGAGCAUGGGACUCUUGAUCUCAAGAUCAUGAGUUCAAGCCCCGUGUUAGGCA